GGAGGCGUAGCUCAGCUGGUUAGAGCGCCUGCUUCACACGCAGGAGGUCCCCGGUUCGAGCCCGGGCGCGUCCACCA
RNAcentral lists this transfer RNA (77 nucleotides) under bioreactor metagenome. RNAcentral's name for it is "tRNA-Val". It matches the Rfam family "tRNA". Rfam says of the family: Transfer RNA (tRNA) molecules are approximately 80 nucleotides in length. Their secondary structure includes four short double-helical elements and three loops (D, anti-codon, and T loops). The record is from RNAcentral.